GACGGAGGGGGCAAGCGUUGUUCGGAAUUACUGGGCGUAAAGCGCACGUAGGCGGCUUUGUAAGUUAGAGGUGAAAGCCCGGGGCUCAACUCCGGAAUUGCCUUUAAGACUGCAUCGCUAGAAUUGUGGAGAGGUAAGUGGAAUUCCGAGUGUAGAGGUGAAAUUCGUAGAUAUUCGGAAGAACACCAGUGGCGAAGGCGACUUACUGGACACAUAUUGACGCUGAGGUGCGAAAGCGUGGGGAGCAAACAGG
This 253-nucleotide ribosomal RNA is filed under the name uncultured bacterium. RNAcentral's name for it is "partial 16S ribosomal RNA". It matches the Rfam family "Bacterial small subunit ribosomal RNA", at positions 524 to 776 of the family's 1533-position model. The record is from RNAcentral.